Molecule: ribosomal RNA, 301 nt
Filed under: uncultured bacterium
Lineage: Bacteria
Description: partial 16S ribosomal RNA
Rfam family: Bacterial small subunit ribosomal RNA
Source: RNAcentral
CAGCCGCCGCGGUAAUACAGAGGGUGCAAGCGUUAAUCGGAAUUACUGGGCGUAAAGCGCGCGUAGGUGGUUUGUUAAGUUGGAUGUGAAAGCCCCGGGCUCAACCUGGGAACUGCAUCCAAAACUGGCAAGCUAGAGUACGGUAGAGGGUGGUGGAAUUUCCUGUGUAGCGGUGAAAUGCGUAGAUAUAGGAAGGAACACCAGUGGCGAAGGCGACCACCUGGACUGAUACUGACACUGAGGUGCGAAAGCGUGGGGAGCAAACAGGAUUAGAUACCCCGGUAGUCCAUGUCUCUUAUAC